CCUCAGAGCCCAUGGGGGAGAGAUUGUAAGGGCAUGAAUAAAAAUAAUAAAGAUGACAUUUUUAAUGUUGACUUUUUUGAGAGGUGAGGAAAUCAAAGUUUGGAUACGAAAGGUACAGGAUGGAGCUGGGACCUAACCUGGAUCUUUAGACUCCAAACCUUGCACUUCAGGAUGCUUCAAAAAGAAGCCAUCUAACUGGAGGCCCCUCGAGAUUGGAGAAGGUUCGGCCCACAGGAGGCUGUAGCAAGGGGUCUGUGAGCAGGAGACAGAGGUGGGAGCACUCGCCCCCUGCUCCUCCUUGCAUGGCUACAGUCAGGCAGCAGCUGCAUUCUGAUGCCACAGCUGCUGUUGGGUGGCUCCAAGAACCAGGCCAUGGCCAUCUCCCCAAGCUGGGUCUCACCAUCUACACUUAAUGAUGACAGCGGCCUGAUCUUCCUGAUUUCAGGCUGGACUCUUCCAAUCCAUCCUCCAUUCAGCAGCCGGAGCGACUUUCCAGAAGUACAAAUCUAAGCAUGUCCCUUCUGCUCUUAAAUGGAACUCAAAAUGUGUGAUAUGCCUUUCCAACUUUACCUCUAAAGAGAAACGCUAUCGGAUGUUCCAUCAGCUUUGCUGUCUUCUUCACGUACACCGUGCUGUAGUCAACUACAAAAUAGCCCCCUUGGAAAGAGGCACCUUCCCACCAGUUCAUCACUGUCUUAGCCUAGAUUCCUCCGAAGCAGAGCAUGAGACAAAGAUUUAGGGCAAGUAGUCACUGGAGAGGCGAUUUCAAGAGUAAGGGAAUGGGGAGAGGAGGACAGGGAAGGAAGCAAACCCCAUACCAGAAUGUGUUUUAUCAGUCUCCACUGUGGACAACAGGGCACAUUCUCACAGGACCCUGUGGAACCCACAGAAGGACUCGGAAUCAUCCACCUGCAAAAUGGAAGCUAGAAAUUGAUCUGCUAACUCCAGCCCCUACUGGUAAGGGCUUCUAGAUAUUUGGGCCAUAUGGCUGCCUAAGCAAGUUCCCAUGGUGCCAAAGAGCCUGCAGCAGCUUUGGAAACUUGUAGCUCAAGCUUGGCGUAGAUGCUGGCUGUGGGAGGUGACCUUGGAUUAGCAAGGAAUUGUUCACCCUGGGGGGGGGGGCAGCUGAAAUCCAGUGCGAGACAGGGUGGCUGCAUAUAAACACUCCUUCAUUGGAAAAAUCCAUGUGGCUUGCUGGAGCCAGCUGUGUAUGAGAUGCCCAGGUUGCUGAAGAAGAGGUUGUGCUCAGAGUUUACCCAGGGCAUCAUGGAAUGAGCAUGGGCUUUGCAGGCAGAUGAGUUCAAACCCUGCUUCAGUUUAUACCAGCUAUGGAACUCUGAGCAAAUCACAUCACCCAAGAGCCACAGUGUCCUUCUCAGCAUAGGGAUAAUCAUUUCUACCAUAUAGAAAUGCUUACGAGAACCAAGAGCAACCCAAGAAAGCAAUAGAUUUGGCUUUCUGAUGUUGAGUCUGUCAGUUUCUUUCUUCCCACAGGAAGGUGGCUUUGCAGACUCUCACUUCACUGCCUCAGCCAGAAUCACCCCCAUUUUCUCCAUGCCUGGUGGCACCUGGGUCACCUACAAUUAUCCAGCAGCCCUGACAACCUGUGUGCAGUGUGGAUUUUUUCCAGGUCCCAGUUUGGGACUGGUACAUCAGCAAUCCACUCCCCAAUUUCACUGCAGGUGGCCAAAAGAGAUUUUGUAAAACAGCAGGAAGGACUUACAUUGCAUACGACACAGCAGUCAUUUAUUGAUCUGUUUAUUUUUGAAAUUCCCAUUAGCUGUUGCUAUCUUUCCUUGAAUCCCUUUUCCGACCCCACCAUUUUUCUCACCUGAGCUCUGCACCUCCAGUUUAAUUCCUUCAUACUUUUUCUUGCCCCUUGGGUUCUGGGCUCUAUUCACGUAUUAUGGGUUACAAUUUGACCCCCCACCAAAUUCAUACGUUGAAAUCCUAACCCUCAGGUCCUGAGAAUAUGAUCUCUUAUGGAAACAGGGUCAUUGCAGAGGGUAAUCAGUUGGGUAUAUACUGAAGUAGGGGGGCCCUAUCUGAUAUGACUGGUAUUCUUACACAAGGAGGGAAAUUUGGGCCCAGAGUCACUCACACAGGAAGAAUGCCAUGUGAAGACUGGAUUUAUGCUGCUACGAGCCGCAGUAGUACCGAGAGGCCCGGAACAAAUCCUUCCCUAGUGUCUUCCAGGGAGUGGGUAUAUCUGACACCUUGAUCUUGAACUUCCAACUUCCAGAACCACGAGACGAUCAGUUCCUGUUGGUGAAGUCACCCAGUCUGUAGCAUUCUGUUACAGCAGCUAGCAAACUAACACACCCCCUAAAAGGACAAUUUAUUUUUCUGUUGCAAAUAUAAUUUUUGCAUCAUCCCCCUUGAUUCCAGCCUUUAUUGUUAUGUUCAUGUGUUUACAUUUCCUGACAGUCCCUGGGGGCGGAGCCUGGGUCAUUCUCAGUGUGGUGUUUUCAGGGUCUGACACACCGCCUGGCUCACAGAUAUGUACAGGCAAUGUUUGCUGAAGACCUCUUGCUACAGGUAGAUCUGGUGCUUGCCCUUUGGGGGUUGUUCACAUUAGCAUAGGUAGCACCAUCAAGGGCAGGCGUGGGCAAGGGCAGGCCAGGGACAGCAUGAGCAGCCCAUGGCCAGCUGGACUGCAGAUGCUGUAGUAAUGAGAAAUAAGGUAGGGAUGGAAGAUGGGGAAUGUAAUGUCAGGGCACCAGAAUUUGGAGAAUGCACCUACUUUGGGAGGGCAAUGGGGCAGCAGGGAGCCACAGGAAGGAGAGGUAUCAAUAGCAGGGCUCUGGGAAGAUUAUUCUAUUAUACAUUAUAGGAGCCCAGGGAGGUCUGUGACUGGGCCCGAGACCAGGUGAGAGGUGAUGAAGGCUGACACCUUCAUGGGUGUGAGGAUGGAGACAAGAUGAGACACAAGAGGAAGAAAUGCCAGCCCGACAGCUGACUUAGAGGUAUUUUCCCCUUUGAGAUGCAAGUCCCCAAGCUCCUCCUCCUUCUGAAGAUGCCACGCUGAGAAUUUCCAUGAUGCGGGCGAUGACAUAAAUCACACCAUCCCGCCCCCUGUCUGGCAGUGACUCUUUUGGUGAGAGAGCAAAGGAACCAGCUACCCCCACCUCGAGCUGGUAAGGUUUCUGGUCCACAACUCAAAAUGUCAAUUCAUGAAAGCAGACAUUUUCCACCUUUUUAAAUAUCAAGUUUUUAUAAUCACAUAUGAGUUCUACAAGUUAACUGAAAUGCAAUGGUGAUGAAUCUUGUGGGUAUAAAGUGAAAAUUACAUACAGUAAAAUAUGACCUUGUCCUUUAAGAAGAGGGACCUGGAGUAUUGAAAACUGAUAAGGAAAAGAUUGCAUGAUUUUAAUUUUCUUGCCUGUUUGUUAUCUUCUUUUCCCUGGAACAUCAAAGCCAAAGUGUAGUUUAAAGAAGAAUGAGAAGGCUGAGUUUGGAGGUGAUGGGUGACUAAGUUAAAUAUUGUUGGGUGUAAAUACACUGUGAGGAUAUGCAAAAGAAGAAAAUAAAAAUUGCCGGGCAUAGUGGUGCGCACCUGUAGUCCUGGUGGCUUGGGAGGCUGAGGCAGGAGGAUUGUGAAUUCAAGGUUCGCCUCAGCAACCUAGGGAGGCCGUAAGCAACUUAGCAAGACCCUGUCUCAAAAUAAAACAUAAAAGCUGGGCCCAGUGGUGCAUGCCUGUCAUCCCAGAACCUUGGGAGGCUGAAACAGGAGGAUCACAAGUUCAAAGCCAGCCCCAGCGAUGGAGAGGCACUAAGCAACUCAGUAAGACUCUGUCUCUAAAUAAAAUUUAAAAAUAGGGCUAGGGAUGUGGCUCAGUGGUUGAAUGCUCCUGGGUUUAAUAAUCCCUGGUACCAGGGCUGGGGUUGUGACUCAGUGGUAGAGAGUGGUUGUGACUCAGUUGUGACUCCAUAAAACUCCUGUGUAAUGAGACCUCAUAACCCCAGUGGUAAAGUGCUCGCCUAGCACGUGCGAGGCCCUGGGUUCGAUCCUCAGCACCACAUAAAAAUAAGUAAAUAAAAUAAAGGUAUUGUGUCCAACUAUAUAAAAAAUUAAAUAUUAAAAAAAUAAUCCCUGGUACCAAAAAAUAUAAAAAUAAAAAAUAAAAUAAAUAAA
Long non-coding RNA from Marmota monax (woodchuck), 4135 nucleotides. RefSeq lists it as uncharacterized. The transcript has 3 exons. The record is from RefSeq and is a predicted model, not a curated record. Lineage: Eukaryota; Metazoa; Chordata; Mammalia; Rodentia; Sciuridae.